GGGGUUGCAAAGAGUCAGACAUGACUCAUGAGUCCACACACAGGCAGGCACUGCCAACUGCCUUUCUAUUAGAAGGGACUCUGGAAAUACCUUCUACUUUGGCCACUGUUGCUCUUUUGCAAAGGUGAAAUCCCCCCUGCCAUUUUAAAAUAGCUGAACAAGAGGCUAUAACUUCUGCUAUCUUUCUGAAUCUAUAGGAUUCAGCAGCCAGGAUGCUUACAAAAUGAGAUUGCUAUAAAUAUGAUGAAUUCCGCAGCUAAACUUGGCAACAAUCAUGUAUUUUGUGUAAAUAGAGAUUAUACCACUUUUCUCCAAAGGAAGUCUUUAAAAUCUGUUUUUGUUUUUUUUUGUCUAAUGCGGGGGAGGGCUUUUUGUUUGGGAGGCAGAUACUUUGAACUAUUUUAUAUUUAUGUUAUCUAAAUAUUUGUUGAUUUAUAUUAUUUGCACAGUCCCUACUUUUAAGGAGGACUUGAGGCAGCAUAUUGCCCUUGGAUUUCAGCUGUUUCUGUUUUUCUGUUGAAAGCCAUAUUCUUUGAUAGAAGACCUGAAAUGUUACAGUACUCAUCUCCAGGUCUUUCCUGGCUGUAGUUGAUAUCCAUAUGCUUGAUGCUUAUAGUGAUUCAGAGGUCAGUUGAAACAUUCUUAAUUACACUGUGGGAGUGAUUCUAGCCCCUCAGGAAAAAAAAAGAAUUAUUGUACCCUUGAAUUUUGAGACCAUUUUCAGUUGCUGCAAAUGUGUUUAUAUUAAAUUUAAUUUUAAACAUUCAUUAAAUAGUGCAACCAGGGAAGAUCAGCUAAACCAUGCCACUAUUUGGGGAACUAUUGCAAUAUAAUAUCAACUGCUCCUUUCUGUGAAGUUUAACUAGAUGGGAGAAAAAUUCCAAAGCUAUAAUAUUGCAAUCUUAUUCUUUUUAUCUAGAAAAAUAAAAUAUUAGGCUUCAGACCCAAUUGUGCAAAUUGCAUUUGCUUUCCAGCUUUUACUACCUCUGUGUCAUAAUUUUAACACAUAACAUACAACUCCUGUCUCUUAAGGCGGUUACCAUAUGGUGUUUAUGUCAGACUGGAUAUAUUUAUCUAAUUUUGUGAGAUUCUUUUUUAGCUCCUGACACAGUUCUUGAAAGUAAUACUGCUGUUGUUACACUUUCUCCUUGCAAUUUUUAUGUUAUUGAGAUAUAUCAGUUAUGUAUUAUUAUCAUGAAAGUCUCUUGGCCUCAAACCCAAAUUUUCUUUGUGGCCUAGGAUAGAUUUUUCACAAAAACCACGUAGUUAUAGCUGUGAUUACAUAGCUUCUUAAUUUGCCUUACAGUUACCACUCAGCAUGAUUCUAGGUUUUUAAUUAUGUUCCAGCAGUACUAGUUUUCUAGUAUAAAAGUCACAACCAAUUUGAGAGUUUACUUUCAGAUAUGAUAAAUUAUUCAUGUUUUCCUUCAUAUACUUGGUUGCGUCCUCCUCCUGACGAGGUUCAACACAUCAGUGACCUCCCACUCCCAUGUCAUUGACUCUGUUUAAAAACCAAACAUUCGUAUCAACUUGGAAAAACUUUUCAUAAAAUACAAUAAUGGAGAUGUGUUUUUGAGACCUUUUUUGAAACUAUUAAUAUCUGAAACAAAAAGGAUAUACAUCUAGAAAGAUAUUAUGAAACAUCUCUUAGUAGUUUAGAAAAAAAGAGUUACAACUUUGUGUUAAAAUUGCAGGUCAAGUAGAAAACAUAAUCCUCAUCUCAGGUAGACUCCCUGAAUUAUCUUUUAUGAGCACUCAUUUAUUUUUAAUUUAGUUAAGCUAAUUUUGAAACCGCCUACCUAUAACAAUGCCAGACUAUCCCUCUACCUCUCAAAGACAAAUAGUUUUAAUUUUUUUGAAAACCUGGCUUGUAUAAUAAAUGUAUAAUACUGAAAGAUUCCUCCAUAGUAUUUACAGAAGUCAAGUGUAGUUGUAAAUUUUUCUUUUAAUUUUAAUCAUUUAUGGAGGACCUAGUUUGGGUUAGCCAGGGCUUUGCCUAUAUUAUUCCUUUUAAUUCUCACAGCAGUUCCUGCAAGGAAGGUAUAAAUUAUACUCAUUUUACCAAGGAGGAAGUCAAGAUUUAGAGAGUGAAGUGACUUUUACUUAGAGUCACACAGCUGAAGUACAUUUAUUUCAAAAGCAGUUUUUUUUCCCCCCACACAAUGCUAGAUUAACAUUUUACAGAAAAGUUCUUCAGUCCAUUAAAAUCCAAGCCUUACUGAAAUACAUUGAAAAUGCUUUUUACAUAAUUACUAUUUCUGUGGGUAGGCAUUGCGACAAAAACACUUGGACAUAACAGAGAACACUGAAAUACUGUGAGGAAAAAGAUGUGUCUAAGGACUGUAACCUCCACAGAACACUGAAAUACUGUGAGGAAGAAGAUGUGUCUAAGGACUGUAACCUCCAGAAUGGCACUGGGUUUUUAUUUGGUCUGAGAAGAGCUCAAAACAUCUUACUGACUUAUAGUUUAAGGUAUUAUAACCAAUAGCAUAGUGGUUAACAGC
Molecule: long non-coding RNA, 2504 nt
Organism: Bos taurus (domestic cattle)
Lineage: Eukaryota; Metazoa; Chordata; Mammalia; Artiodactyla; Bovidae
Source: Ensembl